AUUGAACGCUGGCGGCAUGCUUUACACAUGCAAGUCGAACGGCAGCGCGGGGCAACCUGGCGGCGAGUGGCGAACGGGUGAGUCAUACAUCGGAACGUACCCAGAAGUGGGGGAUAACGUAGCGAAAGUUACGCUAAUACCGCAUACGUUCUACGGAAGAAAGUUGGGGACCGCAAAGCCUCAUGCUUUUGGAGCGGCCGUUGUCUGAUUAGCUAGUUGGUGAGGUAAAGGCUCACCAAGGCGACGAUCAGUAGCUGGUCUGAGAGGACGACCAGCCACACUGGGACUGAGACACGGCCCAGACUCCUACGGGAGGCAGCAGUGGGGAAUUUUGGACAAUGGGCGCAAGCCUGAUCCAGCAAUGCCGCGUGAGUGAAGAAGGCCUUCGGGUUGUAAAGCUCUUUUGUCAGGGAAGAAACGGCUGAGGUUAAUACCUUCGGCUAAUGACGGUACCCGAAGAAUAAGCACCGGCUAACUACGUGCCAGCAGCCGCGGUAA
RNAcentral lists this ribosomal RNA (498 nucleotides) under uncultured bacterium. Its description in RNAcentral is "partial 16S ribosomal RNA". It matches the Rfam family "Bacterial small subunit ribosomal RNA", at positions 30 to 523 of the family's 1533-position model. The record is from RNAcentral.